This 204-nucleotide unclassified non-coding RNA is filed under the name uncultured Laccaria. RNAcentral describes it as "sequence contains ITS2". The record is from RNAcentral. Lineage: Eukaryota; Fungi; Basidiomycota; Agaricomycetes; Agaricales; Tricholomataceae.
AAUUAUCAACCUUCCAGCUUUUAUUAGCUUGGUUAGGCUUGGAUGUGGGGGUUGCAGGCUUCAUUGAUGAGGUCAGCUCUCCUUAAAUGCAUUAGCGGAACUUUUGUGGACUGUCUAUUUGGUGUGAUAAUUAUCUACGCCUUGGAUGUCUGCAAUGGGUUUGCGCUGCUUCUAACUGUCUAUUCGUUUGGACAAUACAUGACA